Molecule: ribosomal RNA, 327 nt
Filed under: uncultured eukaryote
Lineage: Eukaryota
Description: partial 18S ribosomal RNA
Rfam family: Eukaryotic small subunit ribosomal RNA
Source: RNAcentral
CCCUUAGAUGUUCUGGGCCGCACACGCGCUACACUGAAGGAGGCAGCGUGUACUCCUGGAUCGAAAGAUUUGGGUAACCCGCGAAUCUCCUUCGUGCUAGGGAUUGAGGUUUGCAAUUAUCCUUCAUGAACGAGGAAUUCCCAGUAAGUGCAAGUCAUAAGCUUGCGCUGACUACGUCCCUGCUUUUUGUACACACCGCCCGUCGCUACUACCGAUUGAAUGAUUUAGUGAGGACUUCGGACUGGGACCGAUGCGGCUUUCGGGCUGCGUCGGUAUUCUGGAAAGAUGUCCAAACUGUAUCAUUUAGAGGAAGUAAAANUCGUANCA